UCUGCAGGUGGCAGAAGGCGCCUGUGCCGUUUGCUGGCAUGGCGAUCGGUUGGUGUCGAUGACGUUGACCUCCGGUUCAACCGGCCUGCCGAA
This 93-nucleotide transfer RNA is filed under the name Klebsiella variicola. Its description in RNAcentral is "tRNA-Cys". The record is from RNAcentral. Lineage: Bacteria; Pseudomonadati; Pseudomonadota; Gammaproteobacteria; Enterobacterales; Enterobacteriaceae.